GGGGUUGUAGUGUAACUUGGUUUAUCAUUCGAGGUUUGGGACCUCGCGAUCUCGGUUCAAAUCCGGGCAGCCCCA
This 75-nucleotide transfer RNA is filed under the name Candidatus Woesearchaeota archaeon. RNAcentral describes it as "tRNA-Pro". It matches the Rfam family "tRNA". Rfam says of the family: Transfer RNA (tRNA) molecules are approximately 80 nucleotides in length. Their secondary structure includes four short double-helical elements and three loops (D, anti-codon, and T loops). Lineage: Archaea; Nanobdellati; Candidatus Woesearchaeota. The record is from RNAcentral.